AACUCUACUUGAUUUGAAGGGAUAUGGUGAAUUAUGCCUUUGCGUGUUCAUUCCGGAUUUACAUGGACUCUUGAUGGAUCAAGAGAUGCCAAUAUGUAUCAACAUCCGAAGAAAAAGAUCUUGGGAAGACACAGUCUCGAUAAGGUACUCGAUGACUGUAUUGAUGAUCAAUCGGCUUAGGCGCUCUAUAAUUAGUGAGGCCUACAUAUACUCCCAUGAUUAGUCAAGGUCUUUGCUCUAAAGAGAGAUCCGUUGUUUUGUCUAAAGCAAGAUGACAAAUAUGUGUUAAGAGAUGGAGUUCCCAUCUAAGUACAAAAAGACGCAUCAAUGUACUCAACACAAUACAAAAGACUUGACAUCUCAUUCGCUAUGAAAAGUUGUAAAGCUAAGUGUAGCUAUGCGCCCACGCAACGCCAAUGUAAUGGCAGUAACUCCUUUUUCAAUACUUAAUGGUAUGAAAGGUUGAGGCUUAUUCUAUCCCUACAUAAGAAAGACACAUCAAAAGCGAAAUCAGAAUCUGCCAAGUUUUGUAGGUCAACUUCCACGAGACCUAUAGGAAAUAUCACUCACUGGAAAAUGGUGAAAUUGGUACCAUUGGAAAGGUCUAUGUGUCUACUUUCCAGGGACACCAACCAUUUGAUCAUACCUAUCAUAUUGAGUGAGUUAUGGCCGUUUUCGUAAAUAGGACGAAUCUGUCCGAGAAUCUGAUUUUAGCAAAACAGUCAACUUCGACGGAAUGUUGUGAAUAGCUCCUGAGGAACCAGAACGUGUGUAAUAUACGGUUGGAAAGCUAAAUGAGUCUAGUUUCCAAAACCGUUUACGGUUUGUUCAUAUGUAUUUCCUAGAGAAAGUUACGACUGUUCUAGUAAUUGAAGGUCAUGCUGCGCGGAAAUCUGAUUUCCUGCACGAACUUAUGUUUUGAGUUCACAAGCAACCUUCUCCUCAAGAUCUAAGUGUAAAAGAUCAUUUGAGGACAAUACGGCAUGAUUUAGUUGAUCAUUGCCCAAUACCACAUUUGAAGACAUGUUAAAAAGCAUUGACAUGCUAAGUUGUUGAAACUUCCGUGAUUAGUAAGAAUCAGGAAGAGCCCUAUGAUUGAUGUAAAGAUCAGGGGGAGGUGCGAACUUCAGGGGGAGUCUAGCACAUACAUACAUGUCACUAUCAAAUGUGAAGGGUGCGUUGUACUCUUUUUCUCCUACGAUCAAGGUUCAGUUUUUCUCCCACAGGGUUUUUGUGACUUGACGAGGUUUUUGACGAGGCAACAGAUCAGCAUCAUCGGCAUAUCAGCGCGCGGCACA
Molecule: long non-coding RNA, 1298 nt
Filed under: Fragaria vesca (wild strawberry)
Lineage: Eukaryota; Viridiplantae; Streptophyta; Magnoliopsida; Rosales; Rosaceae
Description: long non-coding RNA (FVES_LNC004570)
Source: RNAcentral